ACUAUCCCUUUAAAUGGAUUCAGGGGGAGAAAUUCUUCCCAUAUCUUUUGAAAACUCAGGGAGUUUGUUUUUUGUUUUUUGUUUUUCGAUCACUCUGAAAGCCCAUAGAGCACAGUCAGAAUCAAAUUCAGAAAUAAAACCAUCCAGUGCAUUAUGUAAUAUUCAGAUUUUACUCAACGGCAAGUCUCCUCCCCACCGCAGAAGCUCUCAGAAAUUCUUUUCCAGGACUGCAAUAUAUCCAGUGGCAGAGAUGCCAGCCACAGGAAUUUUGAAACUUCUCAACACCCUGGGGCUUUAAAGAUGUCAAAUAUAACAUUUCUCCUGGCAUCAUGGGCCCCUCUAUUGGUCUACCGUGAGGCGAUAUGACUCCAAGGCCAAAAUGAGGGCAAGGAAACAAAAGCCAGCAAGGGGAGGAGGUGGGUAAGGCCACUCUCCAGGACUCUCUACAGCAUGCUGAAAGGCUGAGGCACAGCUCCAGAAGUUUAUUUGGACAACUGCAGAUCUGCAGAGAUGGUGAAACUGCAAGUCUCAACAAACCUCCCUGGUGGGUCAGGUGAGGACACAGGUCACCCUCACUUUUCAGUUUUCAAACUCUGGCAGUGAAAUGCAAAUCUCCCCUCAAGACAUUCAAAAUACAUACGCAAUUGACGUGCUUUAUUUUGUCUUUGCUACAUCUCUGUUCAGUCGCUGCAACCUCCCCAUCCUCUUUGGACUGGUUCCUCUCUAGGCUGACCACCAGAGCUCUUCUGCUGGAUUAGCUCAACUUUAGAGUUAGAAGUAACUAGACUGGCUGAGAGCAUCCCUAAAGGAAAUUGCCUUGGAGUAUGUGCCAGUUCAGGCUUUUUCCUGAAGAGACUUUAUUGCCCCAGUUCAUACAGAAAACAUUCUCCGUCAUGUUGGAUUUAACCUCAACCUCCAAUCAACUACCACAUUUUUAAACUGGUAGUAUGUCAAGUAAAUUUGACAAACAAAGGUGGCUGGCAGGAUCUCAAGGUGGAGAUGAGUGAGCACAGACCUGAGAAGAAGCUGUUACGAGCACCCUGAGAGCAGCCCUGGCCCCUACUCUGCAAAGGGGCUCCAGACCACACCAGCCUAGCCAAUCACCCAGAGGGCCAAAUGUAGCAGAGACUUUGCCAAAGAAGGGAGCGGCAAUGCCACUUGCAUUCCAGAUGCUAGAUGAAGAAAUGGGAACUAUGGACGAAAAAUGAUGAUGUCAUGUAAAAUAAUUUUUUUUCCUGGUUUCUUAAAUUCUUAGCCAAUUCUUCUAGAACAUGUAUUCUCAAAUGAGGGUGAUAAAAUCUUGAUGUUAAAAUAGUUCGUGGCACUCCAAAAGACCACAGUACAUAAACAGUUUGCGUGUUUAUCUGUGAUAUUAUAUUUUUAAUUUAUUUUAUUGAAAUAUAGUUGUUUUACA
Sus scrofa (pig) is the source of this 1414-nucleotide non-coding RNA. Lineage: Eukaryota; Metazoa; Chordata; Mammalia; Artiodactyla; Suidae. The record is from RefSeq and is a predicted model, not a curated record.